AGGGUGAGAGGUGAGCCAGGAGGGAUGAUGCGGGGAGCUGAUCACCGAGGGGGAGCACGGGUCGCUAGAAGAGGAGGAAUGAUCUGGAAAACGCGGGUCCAAGGUGGCGGCGGGGCCGCACGAGGGAAAGACAGAGGGGAGCAGAGGUCGAGAGCAGCCCGGGGCGACAUAACAGUACCCUGUCCCCCAAACACACAAGGCGGUGUGGCGGUGCACACCUGAGAUUCCAGCCGUUGGACGGCAGCCACAGCAGCAGCUCGUGGCCCAAGCCCAGCUCAGCCAAGUGGCGUGGUCGAGACCACCCCAGGCUACAAGCCCGUCUCAAGCACAGUGAAACCGAACAGUGCGGGUGUGACCGCUCCGAUCAUACAGCUGGUCCCCCAAACCCAAGCUCCAGGGAUCCAGCACCUACUUCUGGCCUUCGGGGUCAUCUUCACAUCUGCAUGCGUGUGCCCAUACAUAGACACACAUGAAUAGAAAUUAAAAAAUAAAUAUUACAAAGCCCA
Peromyscus maniculatus bairdii (prairie deer mouse) is the source of this 506-nucleotide long non-coding RNA. RefSeq lists it as uncharacterized. Lineage: Eukaryota; Metazoa; Chordata; Mammalia; Rodentia; Cricetidae. The record is from RefSeq and is a predicted model, not a curated record.